GACGAACGCUGGCGGCGUGCUUAACACAUGCAAGUCGAACGAAGAGCGAUGGAAGCUUGCUUCUAUCAAUCUUAGUGGCGAACGGGUGAGUAACGCGUAAUCAACCUGCCCUUCAGAGGGGGACAACAGUUGGAAACGACUGCUAAUACCGCAUACGAUCUAAUCUCGGCAUCGAGGAUAGAUGAAAGGUGGCCUCUACAUGUAAGCUAUCACUGAAGGAGGGGAUUGCGUCUGAUUAGCUAGUUGGAGGGGUAACGGCCCACCAAGGCGAUGAUCAGUAGCCGGUCUGAGAGGAUGAACGGCCACAUUGGGACUGAGACACGGCACAGACUCCUACGGGAGGCAGCAGUGGGGAAUCUUCCGCAAUGGACGAAAGUCUGACGGAGCAACGCCGAGGGAGUGAUGACGGCCUUCGGGUUGUAAAGCUCUGUUAAUCGGGACGAAAGGCCUUCUUGCGAAUAGUGAGAAGGAUUGACGGUACCGGAAUAGAAAGCCACGGCUAACUACGUG
This 510-nucleotide ribosomal RNA is filed under the name uncultured bacterium. RNAcentral's name for it is "partial 16S ribosomal RNA". It matches the Rfam family "Bacterial small subunit ribosomal RNA", at positions 28 to 507 of the family's 1533-position model. The record is from RNAcentral.